Molecule: long non-coding RNA, 858 nt
Filed under: Prunus persica (peach)
Lineage: Eukaryota; Viridiplantae; Streptophyta; Magnoliopsida; Rosales; Rosaceae
Description: long non-coding RNA (PPER_LNC001170)
Source: RNAcentral
CGGUAAAUUUUAACAUUUUAACCAAUCGCAUCCUCUAGUUAAUGCAUUUUAACCACCGGUUGGGGGAACAACAACAGCUGAAUCCGUGAUCUACGGAUCUACGCGAGGUGUAAAACAGAGUGGAGGAAGAGACUGUUAAAUGGGUGGUGAAAAACAGCACCACGUGGAGCGAUGCUGAGCCAACGUUUUUAUAAUCACACAGAAUUAAGGAUUUCUGUUCCCCUACUCCCGCUUGGAGACAUCCGCUGCAAAUGGAAUCAGUUUGAAUAUAGAUUAACGUAACUACCCUUCUCGUUUACUCAUUUUCCCCAUCCCUAAUUUAGUAGGUUAUUGUUAUAUUUAUAUUAUACAUGUCAAUCUUGAAGAACUAAAAAAAAAUGUCAUUUGGCCAACGGGGUAUAUAGCCAAUUAAAAAAAAUGUCUUCACUUGCAAAUGAAUGGUCGAAGAUUCGAACUUUCAUGACACUUUAGUAUUAUAUGUGAGAAUUUUUUUUUCUUAUAGUUUAAACUAUCACUUGUAUUAAAAAAAUAUAUAUCAUUUUGAAUUUCAAAAUAUAUAGAUUAUAGUGAUCCUAGUAAUUAUUUAUCAUUUUAUAUUUUUAUAUUUUUGGAAUUUGAGGGACCAUAUAAAUAAUUCACAACUUUUGGAAGUGACACAGUCAAUCUAAUACUAAUGUGGUUAUUCCUUCCUACACUUUUCCAAAAGAAAAAGAAAUAACAAAGAAAAUGUCAUUCUUGGUAGUUGUCACUAGCCAUGAUAUGAUGCAAUAGUAUACCUUUUUUUUUUUUUUUGGUUUUUCCUUCUUCUUCUUCCUUAAAAAAAGUCUGAUGAAUGAAAGCCAUGUGAAUUUUCAUUAG